CCCUUAGAUGUUCUGGGCUGCACGCGCGCUACACUGACGCACGCAACAGGUGCCUGCUCCGAGAGGACUGGGUAAUCAUUUGAGUGUGCGUCGUGAUGGGGAUAGAAUAUUGUAAUUAUUACUCUUCGACGAGGAAUUCCUAGUAAGCGCCAGUCAGCAGCUUGCGCUGAUUACGUCCCUGCCCUUUGUACACACCGCCCGUCGCUCCUACCGAUGGGUGAUCCGGUGAAUGAUUCGGACUUCAGCGGCUCCCCUGGGGUGCGCCGGAGAAAGUUUUGUGAACCUUAUCACUUGGAGGAAGGAGAAGUCGUAACA
This 315-nucleotide ribosomal RNA is filed under the name uncultured eukaryote. RNAcentral's name for it is "partial 18S ribosomal RNA". It matches the Rfam family "Eukaryotic small subunit ribosomal RNA", at positions 1470 to 1796 of the family's 1831-position model. The record is from RNAcentral.